Notothenia coriiceps (black rockcod) is the source of this 790-nucleotide long non-coding RNA. RefSeq lists it as uncharacterized. The transcript is spliced from 2 exons. Lineage: Eukaryota; Metazoa; Chordata; Actinopteri; Perciformes; Nototheniidae. The record is from RefSeq and is a predicted model, not a curated record.
CUCAGGUGCGUCUCCUCACUGUGUGAUGUCAUGUUUCAGGUUAGUCUCAGGUGGGUCUCAGGUUGGUCUCAGGUGUGUCUCAGGUUAGUCUCUGGUGUGUCUCAGGUUAGUCUCUGGUGUGUCUCAGGUUAGUCUCUGGUGUGUCUCAGGUUAGUCUCAGGUUUGUCUCAGGUUAGUCUCUGGUGCGUCUCAGGUUAGUCUCAGGUGCGUCUCCUCACUGUGUGAUGUCAUGUUUCAGGGCGGGGUCAUCCUGGUGUCUCACGACGAGCGUCUGAUCCGCAUGGUGUGCAAGGAGCUGUGGGUGUGUGAGCACGGGAAGGUGGGCCGCAUCGACGGAGGCUUCGACGAGUACCGGGACAUCCUGCACGAGCAGUUCAAGAAGGAGGGUUACCUGUGAGGCCCCGUUCAGCGCUUCAACAAGCCCCGCCCCCUCUAACAACAUCCUGUUAUAGCAGCCAAUCAGCAGCCUGGAGGACGGUUUUUUUUUCUCCUCUGAACUGAUGUGCUGCAGGCCGAUUGGUCGAUUUCCCCUGGUGAUGUCAGUGAACUCUGGAGGAGGCGGAGUCUAUUUAAAGUCCAUCGUUACAUUUAACCUGAUUUUUUUUUUUUUCUGUGUGAUCGACUCUUAAAAGGACCCAACAUUACAUUCAGACACAAAACAAAUAAAUCCAUCCGAUCAUGGUCUGUUCUUCUUCUGCUGAUUCCUUUAAAGCAUCAUUCUGUCUUCAUGGGGGGGGGUUUCCUUUUAUGUAUACAGUAUCAGAAGUGUUUCUAUAAAGAUAUAGUAUGA